Molecule: ribosomal RNA, 440 nt
Filed under: uncultured bacterium
Lineage: Bacteria
Description: bacterial SSU rRNA
Rfam family: Bacterial small subunit ribosomal RNA
Source: RNAcentral
CCUACGGGAGGCAGCAGUGGGGAAUAUUGCACAAUGGGCGAAAGCCUGAUGCAGCGACGCCGCGUGAGGGAUGACGGCCUUCGGGUUGUAAACCUCUUUCAGCAGGGACGAAGCGCAAGUGACGGUACCUGCAGAAGAAGCACCGGCUAACUACGUGCCAGCAGCCGCGGUAAUACGUAGGGUGCAAGCGUUGUCCGGAAUUACUGGGCGUAAAGAGUUCGUAGGCGGUUUGUCGCGUCGUUUGUGAAAACCAGCAGCUCAACUGCUGGCUUGCAGGCGAUACGGGCAGACUUGAGUACUGCAGGGGAGACUGGAAUUCCUGGUGUAGCGGUGAAAUGCGCAGAUAUCAGGAGGAACACCGGUGGCGAAGGCGGGUCUCUGGGCAGUAACUGACGCUGAGGAACGAAAGCGUGGGUAGCGAACAGGAUUAGAUACCCUAG